GCGGGCGUGGCGGAAUUGGUAGACGCGGCGGGUUUAGGUCCCGUUGAGCUUCGGCUCUUGGAGGUUCAAGUCCUCUCGCCCGCA
RNAcentral lists this transfer RNA (84 nucleotides) under Thermoleophilia bacterium. Its description in RNAcentral is "tRNA-Leu". It matches the Rfam family "tRNA". Rfam says of the family: Transfer RNA (tRNA) molecules are approximately 80 nucleotides in length. Their secondary structure includes four short double-helical elements and three loops (D, anti-codon, and T loops). Lineage: Bacteria; Bacillati; Actinomycetota; Thermoleophilia. The record is from RNAcentral.